Molecule: long non-coding RNA, 2027 nt
Filed under: Pelobates cultripes (western spadefoot toad)
Lineage: Eukaryota; Metazoa; Chordata; Amphibia; Anura; Pelobatidae
Source: RNAcentral
GGGAGAGAAUGCACUAAACAAGCUGGAAAAAUGGUGUUAGAGAGAAAACAAAGGAUGGAAAAAAAAUGUAAGUCACAUGCAGUGUAUCUUUAUAUGACUUUAUUAUAUAAUUCAAAUAGUAAACCUGCCUAUACUUUAUAUAAUUAAUAACAAACUGCACCCCACUAUACUAUAAUAACAAACUGCACCCCACUAUACUAUAAUAACAAACUGCACCCCACUAUACUGUAAUACCAUACUGCACCCCCACUAUACUAUAAUACCAUACUGCACCCCCACUAUACUAUAAUACCAUACUGCACCCCACUACACUAUACCAACAUACUGCACCCCACUAUACAAUAAUACCAUACUGCACCCCCACUAUACUAUAAUAACAAACUGCACCCCACUAUACUAUAAUACCAUACUGCACCCCACUAUACUAUAAUACAAUACUGCACCCCACUAUACUAUAAUACCAUAAUGCACCCCCACUAUACUAUACCAACAUACUGCACCCCACUAUACUAUACCAACAUACUGCACCCCACUACACUAUAAUACCAUACUGCACCCCACUAUACUAUAAUACCAUACUGCACCCCCACUAUACUAUAAUAACAAACUGCACCCCCACUAUACUAUAAUACCAUACUGCACCCCACUAUACUAUAACAACAUACUGCACCCUACUACACUAUAAUAACAAACUGCACCCCACUAUACUAUAAUACCAUACUGCACCCCCACUAUACUAUAAUAACAUACUGCACCCCCACUAUACUAUAAUAACAAACUGCACCCCACUAUACUAUAAUAACAUACUGCACCCCCACUAUACUAUAAUAACAUACUGCACCCCCACUAUACUCUAAUAACAAACUGCACCCCCACUAUACUAUAAUAACAAACUGCACCCCACUAUACUAUAAUACCAUACUGCACCCCCACUAUACUAUAAUAACAAACUGCACCCCACUAUACUAUAAUAACAAACUGCACCCCACUAUACUAUAAUACCAUUCUGCACCCCACUAUACUAUAAUACCAUACUGCACCCCCACUAUACUAUAAUAACAAACUGCACCCCACUAUAUUAUAAUAACAAACUGCACCCCACUAUACUAUAAUAACAAACUGCACCCCACUAUACUAUAAUACUAUUUCAGCACCCCACUAUACUAUAAUGUACCAUUCUGCACCCCACUAUACUACAUAUAUAAUACCAUACUGCACAAAUCUACUAUACUAUAAUAACAAACUGCACCCUACCAUAUUAUAAUAACAAACUGCACCCUCUACUAUACUAUAUAUAAUAACAAACUGCACCCCUACUAUAUUGUUAAUACCAUACUGCACCCCUACUAUACUAUAUAAACAACAAACUGCACCCUACUCAUACUCAUAUACCAAAUAACAUACUGCACCCCACUAUACUAUAAUACCAUACUGCACCUCCUUACUCAUACUAUAAUACCAUACUGCACCCCAUUAUACACAAUACCAUACUGCACCCCACUAUACUAUAAUAAUACCAUACUGCACCCCACUAUACUACUAUAAUACCAUACUGCACCCCACCACCAUACCAACAUACUGCACCCCCACUAUAUACUAUAAUAACAUACUGCACCCCACUAUACUAUAAUACCAUUCUGCACCCCACUAUACUAUAAUACCAUACUGCACCCCCACUAUACUAUAAUAACAUACUGCACCCCAUUAAACUAUAAUAACAAACUGCACCCCACUAUACUAUAAUACCAUACUGCACCCCCAUUAUACUAUAAUAACAAACUGCACCCCACUAUACUAUAAUACCAUACUGCACCCCACUAUACUAUACCAACAUACUGCACCCCGCUAUACUAUAAUACCAUACUGCACCCCACUAUACUAUAAUACCAUACUGCACCCCCACUAUACUAUAAUAACAAACUGCACCCCACUAUACUAUAAUACCAUUCUGCACCCCACUAUACUAUAAUACCAUACUGCACAACCACUAUACUAUAAUAACAAACUGCACCCCACUAUAUUAUAAU